Molecule: ribosomal RNA, 510 nt
Filed under: uncultured bacterium
Lineage: Bacteria
Description: bacterial SSU rRNA
Rfam family: Bacterial small subunit ribosomal RNA
Source: RNAcentral
AUUGAACGCUGGCGGCAGGCCUAAUACAUGCAAGUCGAACGGUAACAUGGAAGUAGCAAUACUUUUGAUGACGAGUGGCGGACGGGUGAGUAAUAUUUGGGAAUCUACCUAUCAGAGGGGGAUAGCAACUGGAAACGGUUGAUAAGACCGCGUACGCUCUGAGGAGGAAAGUAAUGGGAUCGAAAGACCAUUAGCUGAUAGAUGAGCCCAAACGGGAUUAGCUAGUAGGCGGGGUAAGGGCCCACCUAGGCGACGAUCUCUAGCUGGUUUUAGCGGAUGAUCAGCCACAUUGGAACUGAGACACGGUCCAAACUCCUACGGGAGGCAGCAGUAGGGAAUAUUGCACAAUGGAGGGAACUCUGAUGCAGCCAUGCCGCGUGUGUGAAGAAGGCCUUCGGGUUGUAAAGCACUUUAGUUUUCGAGAAAGGGUGCUGUUCAAAUAGGGCAGUAUUCAGAUGUUAGAAAAAGAAUAAGUACCGGCAAACUCCGUGCCAGCCGCCGCCGUAACAC